GAUGAACGCUGGCGGCGUGCCUAAUACAUGCAAGUCGAGCGAACAGAUGAGGAGCUUGCUCCUCUGACGUUAGCGGCGGACGGGUGAGUAACACGUGGAUAACCUACCUAUAAGACUGGGAUAACUUCGGGAAACCGGAGCUAAUACCGGAUAAUAUAUUGAACCGCAUGGUUCAAUAGUGAAAGACGGUUUUGCUGUCACUUAUAGAUGGAUCCGCGCCGCAUUAGCUAGUUGGUAAGGUAACGGCUUACCAAGGCAACGAUGCGUAGCCGACCUGAGAGGGUGAUCGGCCACACUGGAACUGAGACACGGUCCAGACUCCUGCGGGAGGCAGCAGUAGGGAAUCUUCCGCAAUGGGCGAAAGCCUGACGGAGCAACGCCGCGUGAGUGAUGAAGGUCUUCGGAUCGUAAAACUCUGUUAUUAGGGAAGAACAAAUGUGUAAGUAACUAUGCACGUCUUGACGGUACCUAAUCAGAAAGCCACGGCUAACUAUGUG
RNAcentral lists this ribosomal RNA (497 nucleotides) under uncultured bacterium. RNAcentral's name for it is "partial 16S ribosomal RNA". It matches the Rfam family "Bacterial small subunit ribosomal RNA", at positions 28 to 507 of the family's 1533-position model. The record is from RNAcentral.